UUCUUUCUGCCAAAGGUCUUUUAUUGGGGUGGGGCUGCUGCUGCUCCAACUGCAAAUGUUAGUGGCCCCAGGACAGUUUGCAGCCUUCCAGAACCCAUGUUUUCCCACAGCUUUUAGCAUGUCCACUCCUCAAUUUUUUUAAAAAUAAAACUUUUUUGGCAGUCGAUUCUCCUGCUGCCCCCAUACUCUCAAUUUUUUAACCAUUUCAGUUUUUUGGCCCAGUAGAGUGUAUGAGGACUCCAACCCCCCUUGGGAAAAAUCCCUUUUUAAAUGGAACUCAUUUUUUUGCAGCUAACAAAAACCCAUUGUAGUGACUUUUUUUUUAAAAAAGGAUCCCCUCUUAACUCCUCUACUUGGGAUUGAAGUCCUCAGGCUGCUAUAAAAUCUGAAAAACCAGCCAUCAACUGCACUCGUCCUUUUUCUACUGCUGGUAAAAUGGACCAAUGACUUAUGACAAUAAAAAGGGACUUGUCACAUUUGCAAAAACAAACAGAACACAAGAGCUCACUGAGAAAUAUGUCUUUUCCUUAUUCUGGAAGACGAAACUCUUUUGUAUAGAUUUGAACAUUCAGAUACCAGGGAAGAGCCAGCAAAAAUACUUCAUUUUCUGUUUGCUUGAAAAAUGCCACUACUUAAAAAACAAAACAAAACAAAAAACUGGAGUGUCAAUUUAACUUUAACAUUGCUUGAAUGUUAUAUCAAUAGUCAUUGGUUUGCCCUGUUGAAGGAAGACCUGAAAGAAGAAUAAAGCUUUUCACUACAACA
This 765-nucleotide long non-coding RNA is filed under the name Pogona vitticeps (central bearded dragon). RNAcentral describes it as "lncRNA (ENSPVIG00000006593.1)". The record is from RNAcentral. Lineage: Eukaryota; Metazoa; Chordata; Lepidosauria; Squamata; Agamidae.